AACGAACGCUGGCGGCAUGCCUAACACAUGCAAGUCGAACGAGACCUUCGGGUCUAGUGGCGCACGGGUGCGUAACGCGUGGGAACCUGCCCUUAGGUUCGGAAUAACUCCCCGAAAGGGGUGCUAAUACCGGAUAAUGUCUUCGGACCAAAGAUUUAUCGCCUUUGGAUGGGCCCGCGUUGGAUUAGCUAGUUGGUAGGGUAAAAGCCUACCAAGGCGACGAUCCAUAGCUGGUCUGAGAGGAUGAUCAGCCACACUGGGACUGAGACACGGCCCAGACUCCCACGGGAGGCAGCAGAGGGGAAUAUUGGACAAUGGGCGAAAGCCUGAUCCAGCAAGGCCGCGUGAGUGAUGAAGGCCUUAGGGUUGUAAAGCUCUUUUACCCGGGAUGAUAAUGACAGUACCGGGAGAAUAAGCUCCGGCUAACUCCGUG
RNAcentral lists this ribosomal RNA (433 nucleotides) under uncultured bacterium. RNAcentral's name for it is "partial 16S ribosomal RNA". It matches the Rfam family "Bacterial small subunit ribosomal RNA", at positions 29 to 507 of the family's 1533-position model. The record is from RNAcentral.